AACGCACAUUGCGCCCUCUGGUAUUCCGGAGGGCAUGCCUGUUCGAGCGUCAUUAAAACCACUCAAGCCGAGGUGCUUCCUCGCGCUUGGUCUUGGGGCCGGGGACUCUCAGACGAUUGUCCCCGUUCCGAAAUCGAUUGGCGGAUUGUCCGUGCCGACAGCGUGAUGAAGCAUUGCCGUUGGAAGCAUUGAUCAAUCCUGCCAUGAAACCCCCACAGUCCUUCUGUUUGACCUCGGAUCAGGUAGGGAUACCCGCUGAACUUAA
RNAcentral lists this unclassified non-coding RNA (265 nucleotides) under uncultured Pyronemataceae. Its description in RNAcentral is "sequence contains ITS2". The stretch from base 1 to 52 matches the Rfam family "5.8S ribosomal RNA", at positions 103 to 154 of the family's 154-position model. The record is from RNAcentral. Lineage: Eukaryota; Fungi; Ascomycota; Pezizomycetes; Pezizales; Pyronemataceae.